CGGACGGGUGAGUAAUGUCUGGGAAACUGCCUGAUGGAGGGGGAUAACUACUGGAAACGGUAGCUAAUACCGCAUAACGUCACAAGACCAAAGAGGGGGACCUUCGGGCCUCUUGCCAUCGGAUGUGCCCAGAUGGGAUUAGCUAGUAGGUGGGGUAACGGCUCACCUAGGCGACGAUCCCUAGCUGGUCUGAGAGGAUGACCAGCCACACUGGAACUGAGACACGGUCCAG
Molecule: ribosomal RNA, 232 nt
Filed under: uncultured bacterium
Lineage: Bacteria
Description: partial 16S ribosomal RNA
Rfam family: Bacterial small subunit ribosomal RNA
Source: RNAcentral